RNAcentral lists this ribosomal RNA (253 nucleotides) under uncultured bacterium. RNAcentral describes it as "partial 16S ribosomal RNA". It matches the Rfam family "Bacterial small subunit ribosomal RNA", at positions 524 to 776 of the family's 1533-position model. The record is from RNAcentral.
UACAGAGGGUGCGAGCGUUGUCCGGAAUCACUGGGCGUAAAGGGCGCGUAGGCGGCUCAGUAAGGUUGCGGUGAAAGCCCGGGGCUCAACCCCGGGUCGGCCGUGGCAACUGCUGGGCUGGAGUACUGUAGAGGCAGGUGGAAUUCCGGGUGUAGCGGUGGAAUGCGUAGAGAUCCGGAAGAACACCGGUGGCGAAGGCGGCCUGCUGGGCAGUAGCUGACGCUGAGGAACGAAAGCCAGGGGAGCAAACGGG